UUAAACCCUUAAUGUCUAAGGGUAGAAGGCAAGAGCCAAAAUAUUAAGGGGAGAGAGGAGAGCGAUUAGUAUUUCAAACAAAGUGGUAUCAGUGAAAUGAGGCCAAAUGGGUGGGUGGUGAUGCAGAGGACCCCACUAACAACCUGGCAUUUAUAUAGAUUAAUAUUAAUUAUUUACUAAAUCUC
Molecule: long non-coding RNA, 185 nt
Organism: Hibiscus syriacus
Lineage: Eukaryota; Viridiplantae; Streptophyta; Magnoliopsida; Malvales; Malvaceae
Exons: 2
Source: RefSeq, a predicted model, not a curated record